This 463-nucleotide ribosomal RNA is filed under the name uncultured bacterium. RNAcentral describes it as "partial 16S ribosomal RNA". It matches the Rfam family "Bacterial small subunit ribosomal RNA", at positions 28 to 507 of the family's 1533-position model. The record is from RNAcentral.
GAUGAACGCUGACAGAAUGCUUAACACAUGCAAGUCUUUGGCGAAGCUGUGCUUGCACAGCCUAGCCAAGGCGGACGGGUGAGUAACGCGUAAGGAACUUGCCCUGCAGUCAGGGAUAACAGACGGAAACGACUGAUAAGACCUGGUAAAGUCAGGCGGACUCAUGUCCAGCCUGAUGAAAAGUGAUGCUGCAGGAGAGCCUUGCGUCCUAUUAGCUUGUUGGUGGGGUAACGGCCCACCAAGGCGAUGAUAGGUAGCCGGCCUGAGAGGGUGGACGGCCACAAGGGGACUGAGAUACGGCCCUUACUCCUACGGGAGGCAGCAGUGGGGAAUAUUGGACAAGGGGGGCAACCCUGAUCCAGCAAUUCUGUGUGCACGAUGAAGGUUUUCGGAUUGUAAAGUGCUUGCAGCAGGGAAGAAAAAAAUGACGGUACCUGCAGAAGAAGCGACGGCUAAAUACGUG